AUUGAACGCUGGCGGCAUGCCUUACACAUGCAAGUCGAACGGCAGCACGGACUUCGGUCUGGUGGCGAGUGGCGAACGGGUGAGUAAUGUAUCGGAACGUACCUUUCAGUGGGGGAUAACGUAGCGAAAGUUACGCUAAUACCGCAUAUUCUGUGAGCAGGAAAGCAGGGGAUCGCAAGACCUUGCGCUGAUUGAGCGGCCGAUAUCAGAUUAGCUAGUUGGUGGGGUAAAGGCCUACCAAGGCUACGAUCUGUAGCGGGUCUGAGAGGAUGAUCCGCCACACUGGAACUGAGACACGGUCCAGACUCCUACGGGAGGCAGCAGUGGGGAAUUUUGGACAAUGGGGGCAACCCUGAUCCAGCCAUGCCGCGUGAGUGAAGAAGGCCUUCGGGUUGUAAAGCUCUUUCGGCCGGGAAGAAAUCGCAUAGGUUAAUACCCUGUGUGGAUGACGGUACCGGAAUAAGAAGCACCGGCUAACUACGUGCCAGCAGCCGCGGUAAUACGUAGGGUGCGAGCGUUAAUCGGAAUUACUGGGCGUAAAGCGUGCGCAGGCGGUUUCGUAAGACAGAGGUGAAAUCCCCGGGCUCAACCUGGGAACUGCCUUUGUGACUGCGAAGCUAGAGUACGGCAGAGGGGGGUGGAAUUCCACGUGUAGCAGUGAAAUGCGUAAAGAUGUGGAGGAACACCGAUGGCGAAGGCAGCCCCCUGGGCCGAUACUGACGCUCAUGCACGAAAGCGUGGGUAGCAAACAGGAUUAGAUACCCUGGUAGUCCACGCCCUAAACGAUGUCAACUAGGUGUUGGGUGGGUAAAACCAUUUAGUACCGUAGCUAACGCGUGAAGUUGACCGCCUGGGGAGUACGGCCGCAAGGUUAAAACUCAAAGGAAUUGACGGGGACCCGCACAAGCGGUGGAUGAUGUGGAUUAAUUCGAUGCAACGCGAAAAACCUUACCUACCCUUGACAUGUUCAGAAUCCCGGAGAGAUUUGGGAGUGCCCGAAAGGGAGCUGGAACACAGGUGCUGCAUGGCUGUCGUCAGCUCGUGUCGUGAGAUGUUGGGUUAAGUCCCGCAACGAGCGCAACCCUUGUCGUUAAUUGCCAUCAUUUAGUUGGGCACUUUAACGAGACUGCCGGUGACAAACCGGAGGAAGGUGGGGAUGACGUCAAGUCCUCAUGGCCCUUAUGGGUAGGGCUUCACACGUCAUACAAUGGUCGGUACAGAGGGUUGCCAAGCCGCGAGGUGGAGCCAAUCCCAGAAAGCCGAUCGUAGUCCGGAUUGCAGGCUGCAACUCGCCUGCAUGAAGUCGGAAUCGCUAGUAAUCGCGGAUCAGCAUGUCGCGGUGAAUACGUUCCCGGGUCUUGUACACACCGCCCGUCACACCAUGGGAGCGGGUUCCGCCAGAAGUAGGUAGCCUAACCGCAAGGGGGGCGCUUACCACGGCGGGGUUCGUGACUGGGGUGAAGUCGUAACAAGGUAGCCGUAGGGGAACC
RNAcentral lists this ribosomal RNA (1490 nucleotides) under uncultured bacterium. Its description in RNAcentral is "bacterial SSU rRNA". It matches the Rfam family "Bacterial small subunit ribosomal RNA". The record is from RNAcentral.